AUGUUUUUAGUAUAAUAGGUAUAAUAAAUUUAGUAUUUAUAGGUUUUGUAACAUA
RNAcentral lists this transfer RNA (55 nucleotides) under Dirofilaria immitis (dog heartworm nematode). RNAcentral describes it as "transfer RNA-Leu". The record is from RNAcentral. Lineage: Eukaryota; Metazoa; Nematoda; Chromadorea; Rhabditida; Onchocercidae.